RNAcentral lists this ribosomal RNA (323 nucleotides) under uncultured Oxalobacter sp. Its description in RNAcentral is "bacterial SSU rRNA". It matches the Rfam family "Bacterial small subunit ribosomal RNA", at positions 202 to 508 of the family's 1533-position model. Lineage: Bacteria; Pseudomonadati; Pseudomonadota; Betaproteobacteria; Burkholderiales; Oxalobacteraceae. The record is from RNAcentral.
GUGGGGGACCGUUCGGGCCGUCACGCUCUUGGAGCGGCCGAUAGCUGAUUAGCUAGUUGGUGGGGUAAAGGCCUACCAAGGCGAUGAUCAGUAGCUGGUCUGAGAGGACGAUCAGCCACACUGGGACUGAGACACGGCCCAGACUCCUACGGGAGGCAGCAGUGGGGAAUUUUGGACAAUGGGGGAAACCCUGAUCCAGCAAUGCCGCGUGAGUGAAGAAGGCCUUCGGGUUGUAAAGCUCUUUUGUCAGGGAAGAAAAGGACCGGGCCAAUACCCUGGUUACAUGACGGUACCUGAAGAAUAAGCACCGGCUAACUACGUGC